RNAcentral lists this ribosomal RNA (405 nucleotides) under uncultured Salinibacterium sp. RNAcentral describes it as "bacterial SSU rRNA". It matches the Rfam family "Bacterial small subunit ribosomal RNA", at positions 354 to 771 of the family's 1533-position model. The record is from RNAcentral. Lineage: Bacteria; Bacillati; Actinomycetota; Actinomycetes; Micrococcales; Microbacteriaceae.
GUGGGGAAUAUUGCACAAUGGGCGCAAGCCUGAUGCAGCAACGCCGCGUGAGGGACGACGGCCUUCGGGUUGUAAACCUCUUUUAGUAGGGAAGAAGCGAAAGUGACGGUACCUGCAGAAAAAGCACCGGCUAACUACGUGCCAGCAGCCGCGGUAAUACGUAGGGUGCAAGCGUUAUCCGGAAUUAUUGGGCGUAAAGAGCUCGUAGGCGGUUUGUCGCGUCUGCUGUGAAAACUGGAGGCUCAACCUCCAGCCUGCAGUGGGUACGGGCAGACUAGAGUGCGGUAGGGGAGAUUGGAAUUCCUGGUGUAGCGGUGGAAUGCGCAGAUAUCAGGAGGAACACCAAUGGCGAAGGCAGAUCUCUGGGCCGUAACUGACGCUGAGGAGCGAAAGCAUGGGGAGCGA